GACGAACGCUGGCGGCGUGCCUAAUACAUGCAAGUCGUGCGGACCUUUUAAAAGCUUGCUUUUAAAAGGUUAGCGGCGGACGGGUGAGUAACACGUGGGCAACCUGCCUGUAAGACUGGGAUAACGCCGGGAAACCGGGGCUAAUACCAGAUCGUUUUUUCCUCCGCAUGGAGGAAAAAGGAAAGGCGGCUUCGGCUGCCACUUACAGAUGGGCCCGCGGCGCAUUAGCUAGUUGGCGGGGUAACGGCCCACCAAGGCAACGAUGCGUAGCCGACCUGAGAGGGUGGAUGGGCACCAUUGGACUUGGGCACGGCCCAAACUUCCUCGGGAGGCAGCAGUAGGGAAUCUUCCGCAAUGGACGAAAGUCUGACGGAGCAACGCCGCGUGAGUGAAGAAGGCCUUCGGGUCGUAAAACUCUGUUGCCGGGGAAGAACAAGUGCCGUUCGAACAGGGCGGCGCCUUGACGGUACCCGGCCAGAAAGCCACGGCUAACUACGUG
Molecule: ribosomal RNA, 499 nt
Filed under: uncultured bacterium
Lineage: Bacteria
Description: partial 16S ribosomal RNA
Rfam family: Bacterial small subunit ribosomal RNA
Source: RNAcentral